Molecule: ribosomal RNA, 604 nt
Filed under: uncultured bacterium
Lineage: Bacteria
Description: bacterial SSU rRNA
Rfam family: Bacterial small subunit ribosomal RNA
Source: RNAcentral
CCUACGGGAGGCAGCAGUGGGGAAUAUUGCACAAUGGGCGCAAGCCUGAUGCAGCGACGCCGCGUGAGGGAUGACGGCCUUCGGGUUGUAAACCUCUUUCAGUAGGGAAGAAGCGAAAGUGACGGUACCUGCAGAAGAAGCGCCGGCUAACUACGUGCCAGCAGCCGCGGUAAUACGUAGGGCGCAAGCGUUAUCCGGAAUUAUUGGGCGUAAAGAGCUCGUAGGCGGUUUGUCGCGUCUGCUGUGAAAGACCGGGGCUCAACUCCGGUUCUGCAGUGGGUACGGGCAGACUAGAGUGCAGUAGGGGAGACUGGAAUUCCUGGUGUAGCGGUGAAAUGCGCAGAUAUCAGGAGGAACACCGAUGGCGAAGGCAGGUCUCUGGGCUGUAACUGACGCUGAGGAGCGAAAGCAUGGGGAGCGAACAGGAUUAGAUACCCUGGUAGUCCAUGCCGUAAACGUUGGGCACUAGGUGUGGGGGACAUUCCACGUUUUCCGCGCCGUAGCUAACGCAUUAAGUGCCCCGCCUGGGGAGUACGGCCGCAAGGCAAAACGUCAAAUGAAAUUGACGGCNGAGAGUGACGACGGACGACGACGAGGGAGGAGG